AUUGAACGCUGGCGGUAUGCUUAACACAUGCAAGUCGAACGAGUGGCGGACGGGUGAGUAAUGGAUAGGAAUCUACCUUUUAGUCUAGGAUAACUACCCGAAAGGGUGGCUAAUACUGGAUGCUAAGAGAGGAGCCUAGUUGGGAUUAGCUAGUUGUUGGGGUAAUGGCUCACCAAGGCGACGAUCUCUAGCUGGUUUGAGAGGAUGAGCAGCCAAACUUGGACUGAGACACGGCCCAGACUCCGACGGGAGGCAGCAUUGGGGAAUAUUGGACAAUGGGCGAAAGCCUGAUCCAGCAAUACCGCGUGUGUGAAGAAGGCCCUAGGGUUGUAAAGUACUUUCAGCGGGGAGGCGUUACCCGCAGAAGAAUCACCGGCUAACUCCGUGCCAGCAGCCGCGGUAAUAC
This 406-nucleotide ribosomal RNA is filed under the name uncultured bacterium. RNAcentral describes it as "partial 16S ribosomal RNA". It matches the Rfam family "Bacterial small subunit ribosomal RNA", at positions 30 to 526 of the family's 1533-position model. The record is from RNAcentral.